Molecule: long non-coding RNA, 413 nt
Organism: Megalops cyprinoides (Indo-Pacific tarpon)
Lineage: Eukaryota; Metazoa; Chordata; Actinopteri; Elopiformes; Megalopidae
Exons: 3
Source: RefSeq, a predicted model, not a curated record
UAGACUUUGAGAAUGCCGAGCAUGAAGUAGGCUUUCUUCUCUAGGAGGCUAAAACAGUUGGCACAAAUCAGGAGCCUAUCAACAGGUACUGGUGCAGAGGUGGCAGGAGAUCAGUCCUCACGUUGGCAGGAGAGCGGCCCUGGAAGCCUUGCCGCAUCGUGUCCCCCUGAAUCUUCACCACGGAGCAGUCCAAGAACAACCCCGCCUCCUAGUGCGAGAGACAGAUACAGUCUGCUGCACAUCCUGGACAUUGCAAAAUCCAUCCCCUGGCUGCGAGAUGGGCCAGCUACACUUCCAGCACCUUAUUCACCCUGAAAAGCAUUUGCAGCUGGAACUCGUAGAGUUACAACAGUCUGGAGACAGCCUGGCGUUUCAGCUGUACUUCAACAGCAGCAGAAAUCUUAGAGCACCUC